GAUGAACGCUAGCGGCAGGCUUAAUACAUGCAAGUCGUGGGGCAGCAUGAGUAGCAAUACUUGAUGGCGACCGGCAAACGGGUGCGGAACACGUACACAACCUUCCUUCAAGCGGGGAAUAGCCCAGAGAAAUUUGGAUUAAUACCCCAUAACAUAUAAUGUAGGCAUCUAUAAUAUAUUAAAGCUUUGGCACUUGAUGAUGGGUGUGCGUUUGAUUAGAUAGUUGGUGAGGUAAUGGCUCACCAAGUCAACGAUCAGUAGCUGAUGUGAGAGCAUGAUCAGCCACACGGGCACUGAGACCCGGCCCCGACUCCUACGGGAGGCAGCAGUGGGGAAUUUUGGACAAUGGGGGCAACCCUGAUCCAGCCAUGCCGCGUGUUUGAAGAAGGCCUUCGGGUUGUAAAGGACUUUUGUCAGGGAGCAAAACCUAAUGGUUAAUACCUGUUAGGGAUGAGAGUACCUGGAGAAUAAGCACCGGCUAACUACGUG
This 489-nucleotide ribosomal RNA is filed under the name uncultured bacterium. Its description in RNAcentral is "bacterial SSU rRNA". It matches the Rfam family "Bacterial small subunit ribosomal RNA", at positions 28 to 507 of the family's 1533-position model. The record is from RNAcentral.